Long non-coding RNA from Lynx canadensis (Canada lynx), 1396 nucleotides. RefSeq lists it as uncharacterized. NCBI's taxonomy places the organism in Eukaryota, Metazoa, Chordata, Mammalia, Carnivora, Felidae. The record is from RefSeq and is a predicted model, not a curated record. The transcript is spliced from 2 exons.
GUGUCGGCACUGGACGUACCGAGGUCCUCGGCAGACAGUGGUGCCGAGGGGCCACCGCACCUGCCCUCGCCACCACUGUCUGCCCGGUCGCCAUCUGUACCUCGGGUCGCAGGCACCUGCCCCGCGGGGCGGUGGGAAGCGGUGAGGCAGGGGCUGAGCCUCGUCAGUCCGUGCCGGGCGGUGGGGGUCCCUGCUGUUCCCCUGCAGAUGCUCUUUCCCGGAGCCGGCUGCGGCGCGGGACCCACGUCCUGCCCUCAGAGCCACCACCUUCCCAGGCGACAGGGACCCUCUGCUCGGGGAGGAGCACGGAACGGGGCAGGAACCACGGGCCCCGGCGGGGGCACCGAGCUGCGCUGAGGAGGCAGGUGGGAGCCAGGGCUCACGACUUGAAUUUUGCUCAGCGGACGUGUCAUUUUCAACACAGACCUUUGGUUUUUCCCCGAGUGACGGGGACCCUGAAUGCAGCCGGGCGGAGGGAGAGGGCUCACCUCCGGCACCCCCGAAGCUGAGCGUCAGAGAGGACCGGAGGGGAGCCGCUAGGCAAAGGAUCUAAACAGACACCGCCUCAAAGAGGAUACACAGAUGAGAAAUACGCACACGAGAAGGGACUCCGUGUCGUGUAAUUCCCCGACGAGAGAAGGGCACAUUAAAGCCACAACAACGAGAUGCCCCCGCUCACCUGUCGGGAUGGCCAGGAUCCGGAGCACUGACCACACCGACGCUGGCGAGGAUGUGCAGCCCCCCGAGCCCACUCACUGCUCACCGUGCAGCCCCUGCAGAAGACGGUAUCUUACAGAACCAGUCACACCGUCCCCGUACGAUCCCGCAGCCACACUCCUUGGUUCUCGUACCCAAAGGAGCUGAAGAGUUACUGCCACACAAAAACCUGCACACGGAUGUUUAUAGCAUCUUUAUUCAGAGUCACUAAAACUCGGAAGCCACCAAGAAACCCUUCAGUCGGUGAUGGAUAAAGUUACUGUGGUCCAUCCAGACAAUGGAAUAUUAUUUAGUGGUGAAGAGAGAGAGAGAGAGAGAGAGAGCGGGAGAGAGAGACCCCUCUAGCAAGUUCCCCAAAGACAUGCAAAAGUCUUAAAUGCACGUCACUGAGUGAAGGAAGCCAGUCUGAAAAGGCCACAGACCGUGCGAUUUCAACUGUAGGACGUUCUGGAAAAGGCAGGACUCUGGAGACAGUAGGAGGACCAGCGGCCGCCAGGGGUUGGGGAGGAGGGAGGGAUGAACGGGAAACACGGAGGGUGUUUAGGGCAGCGAAGCCCUCUGUGUGAGACUAUAAUGGUGGGUAUACAUCAUCACCGUCCAUCUGUCCAAACCCAUAGAAUGUAUCACAACCGAGAGGAACCCUACGGGAAACUGUGGACUUCCGUUAUUAAAAAAAAAA